Molecule: long non-coding RNA, 1580 nt
Organism: Alosa alosa (allis shad)
Lineage: Eukaryota; Metazoa; Chordata; Actinopteri; Clupeiformes; Clupeidae
Exons: 3
Source: RefSeq, a predicted model, not a curated record
CACACACAUAGGGGGGCAGUCUAACACCCGCUCCGCCCUUCAUACUUCUCUGGGCUAGACUGUUGUGAACUGGUCCAGGCAGAUCCAAGGCCGGGGAAGGCAGAGAGGGCCACAGCCUCCCUGUGGUUCCGCAGCACAGAGAAAGCAAAAACAGAGCUUGAAUGUCAGGAGGCUUGUAAUAAUUUGGCCAAUGUGGAAAACAGACAUGUGGAGUAUGCCACUAACUUCCUUUGAGGACCAGAUGGAAGAAACAGAGGUAGCUCUAUAGGAACGAACCCAGUACAUCCUCGGGAGUGGAGCUUUGCACAACAAUCAAUCGCAAAUGGACUUGGCGUGCUUUCAGAGGAACACACCCGACCGUGGCACACACACACACACACACACACACACACACACACACACACAUACACACAGAAGCAUGACUGCAUGCUGCCACGAUCCUCAAGUCGUUACAUGGAGCAGGAGCACGGCACGAAACACAAUAAACCUAAGCUUUUAUGACACCGCUACGAUUUGAUGGCGCAAUGGAUCAUUGCUGUUUCGAGGAGGGAGAGCAGAGAUGCGCAAGAGGGAACGCAAAGCCACUGGUUUGGAAUGGGACAGGAGGGAGGGAGGGAGAGAGGGAUGAGAGUGAUAUUCCCAGGUCUCCUUUAUCAUUCUGCUCUCACGCAUGCCACCCAGAAUCCAGGACCACCUGUCAUGUGCAUAGACUCACUGAACUUCUUCGGGUCAUGAUGAGAUCUGGCUUUUGCAUGGACCCAGCUGUACCGUUUCAGAACCGUAAAGACCGCUGGCUGGGGUUGAAACGUUUGACAGGAACUGUAUCCAGGACCAAAGACCAAAUUUAGGCUAUAAAUGGGCAGACUCCAUUCAAAAUUUGAAUUCAAUAAAAAAAAAAUCAAUUCAAGUCAAAACCAGUGAACCAACCAUUCAAUACAAAAGAGACAAAAGAGAUUUUAUCUUUACUAGUUGUGAAAUAUAAAUCGGUUGAUGGGCUGUUUCUUAUUGAUGAUAACCUACCAUGAAGAAAUAUAGUCAGCAGCACAUUGGAACAAUACAGUACACCUUCUUUUUACCCAUCUGGCAUUUCAUCUAUGCAUACACCUGUGGUGGGGUAGACAUUUGAAGCCCACCCUGAAAUACUGAGGAAACAUCUGCCAAGAAACUGGAUAUGCCACAGAGUUCAAACCCCAUAUCCAAACAGCCCUUCAUCUUCCAGAGCUCCUCACUACCCGCCUCAGCCCUCCCUGUUCCUCAGUGUGUGACCAGUGAGCCGAGCCUUUUUCCCCAUCUGCUGGGAGAAAUUAGGACAAAAAAAGAAGGCAAAGGAGAGGUUUGUACAUCAACAGAGAGAGGCCCACAUUAUGAGGAGAUCCUUCUGUAGGAUGUCGGUGAUAAUGUGUGUGUGUGUGUCUCUUUCUGUGUACCGGUAUAUAUAUAUGUGUGUCUUUGUGUGUGUGUGUGUGUAUGUGUGUAUGUGUGUCAGUAAGUAUGUCAAAGACCCACCUACUUUCAUCCUGGCCCUUCCUUUCCUUGGAAAUAUUACAGUGUCUUUGGUCUUAAGGCUGAGGUGAGGUUGU